AUAAAUGGACACUAGAGGAUAGUGUUGAAUCUCGUAGUAGGCAUUUUCACCAUAAAGGAUGAAGAAAAAAUAUUGUUUACUUCCUGGAGGAGGCAGAGUCUUGAAAGCGUACAGACAUGCUGGUUGGAUAACAGUUCGUGUGGUGAAAGGGAAGACUUGUCCCGGGAGCCGCGUAUGCAUUGAGGCACUGCUAACCAUCCUACCUCGCAGAGACCUGCACCCUCGCCUGGUGUCGAAUCCCUCAAUGUCUUUGUGGUACAGUAUACCACUAGUCCCUCUGCAUUCAUCAUCUCUGUGGCAUCCUGCUACACUUACUCCUGUCGUCCUGUAGAGAUGGCCAUCGAUGACCGACUAGACUACACAACUCAAGGUGUUUACUUUGGAUGCCCUCCCAGGCACUCCUCCCAGGGCUUAAUGACUGGAUUUACUGCAUCAAUUAGCCAUCAGGGUCUCUGAGAGGCCUGGCUGGCUGAUCGAUUGUUCUGUAGCAGCUGAUGUCCCCUCGCCGUGCUGUUCUGCACUGCUCUGGACCAUGCUAACUGCAUGUCUGAAUGUAAACCUAGUACAAUGUAAUUAAAUUAAAUAAAACAUUUUCUACUCAAGGUUA
This 607-nucleotide long non-coding RNA is filed under the name Salmo salar (Atlantic salmon). RNAcentral's name for it is "lncRNA (ENSSSAG00000046951.2, ENSSSAG00020080327.1)". Lineage: Eukaryota; Metazoa; Chordata; Actinopteri; Salmoniformes; Salmonidae. The record is from RNAcentral.